UCGUGGGGGUCCUCGGGCCCUUUGCGUGAUGCAACCCUUGCCCUUUUUUAGCAUCUAUCCGUUUCCUCGGCAGCCUCGCCUGCCAACGAGGACCUUCAGAAACCCUUUUGUAAUCUCGGUACGAAACUCGGAAAAGCACAAACGUUUUAA
RNAcentral lists this unclassified non-coding RNA (150 nucleotides) under uncultured Massarina. RNAcentral describes it as "sequence contains ITS1". The record is from RNAcentral. Lineage: Eukaryota; Fungi; Ascomycota; Dothideomycetes; Pleosporales; Massarinaceae.